GCCCUGGUGGUGUAACGGUUAGCAUAACGGACUGUCACUCCGUUGACCCGGGUUCGAAUCCCGGCCAGGGCG
This 72-nucleotide transfer RNA is filed under the name Microcaldota archaeon. RNAcentral describes it as "Candidatus Micrarchaeota archaeon (hot springs metagenome) tRNA-Asp". It matches the Rfam family "tRNA". Rfam says of the family: Transfer RNA (tRNA) molecules are approximately 80 nucleotides in length. Their secondary structure includes four short double-helical elements and three loops (D, anti-codon, and T loops). The record is from RNAcentral. Lineage: Archaea; Nanobdellati; Microcaldota.